AGUGAACGCUGGCGGUAGGCCUAACACAUGCAAGUCGAACGGCAGCACAGUAAGAGCUUGCUCUUACGGGUGGCGAGUGGCGGACGGGUGAGGAAUACAUCGGAAUCUACUUUUUCGUGGGGGAUAACGUAGGGAAACUUACGCUAAUACCGCAUACGACCUACGGGUGAAAGCAGGGGAUCUUCAGACCUUGCGCGAUUGAAUGAGCCGAUGUCGGAUUAGCUAGUUGGCGGGGUAAAGGCCCACCAAGGCGACGAUCCGUAGCUGGUCUGAGAGGAUGAUCAGCCACACUGGAACUGAGACACGGUCCAGACUCCUACGGGAGGCAGCAGUGGGGAAUAUUGGACAAUGGGCGCAAGCCUGAUCCAGCCAUACCGCGUGGGCGAAGAAGGCCUUCGGGUUGUAAAGCCCUUUUGUUGGGAAAGAAAAGCAGCAGGUUAAUACCCCGCUGUUCUGACGGUACCCAAAGAAUAAGCACCGGCUAACUUCGUG
RNAcentral lists this ribosomal RNA (492 nucleotides) under uncultured bacterium. RNAcentral's name for it is "partial 16S ribosomal RNA". It matches the Rfam family "Bacterial small subunit ribosomal RNA", at positions 29 to 507 of the family's 1533-position model. The record is from RNAcentral.